Molecule: long non-coding RNA, 534 nt
Filed under: Mytilus galloprovincialis (Mediterranean mussel)
Lineage: Eukaryota; Metazoa; Mollusca; Bivalvia; Mytilida; Mytilidae
Source: RNAcentral
GCGUAAUUUUAUUGGUAAAUAACUAUAUAUUUUUUUCACCACAGUGCGUACAUAAAAUACCGCAUGUCCAUUCCCCUGUCUGUCCUUCCGGACUUCUGGUUAAUUAGAUUUUUCAAGUGUACAAUUCUUGCCAACUUUCUAUAAAACUGAUAUCGUAUGGACACGUUCGAAAAUCAGUGCAUAUCAACUAUUCUUUAAAAGAGUUAUGCCAUUUGGAAAUAUUAAUUAUAUUGAAAAUUGCAUUGUAUUUUCUGUCAUUCCGUCAUUUCUCUAAUAUAUCUAUAAAAAAAAAUAAAGAAAAAAAUAAACAGCUGCGCUUCGAGCGCAUGAUACGCCCUUCGUCUUAUGAAAAAAAACCCAACAUAAUAUAUGUUUUUAAAAUAACACGGGGGUUGUACGGGAAGUCAUGCUAGGUAUAUCCUGACUCAUUCAUUAUUCUUGCUCAAUAGGAAGUUUAUAUAUCACAACAUGUUUUAUAUGAUCCCCAAAUUGAAGCUCAAUAAAAAUUCAAGAACUCAAAAAUGAAUUAAAGAA